AGCCUGAACGCUGGCGGCGUGGUUAAGACAUGCAAGUCGUACGGUGUAGCGUAGCAAUACGCUGCACAGUGGCGAACGGGUGAGUAAUGAAUCGCUAAUGUACCCCGGACUCUGGGAUAGCUGCCCGAAAGGGCAGGUAAUACCAGAUAACGUAAUUUUCCGGCAUCGGAGAAUUCCCAAAGGUCCGCGGUCUGGGAGCAGGCGAUUUCGUAUCAGCUAGUUGGUAGGGUAACGGCCUACCAAGGCGAUGACGCGUAGCCGGACUGAGAGGUUGGCCGGCCACAUUGGGACUGAGACACUGCCCAGACUCCUACGGGGGGCUGCAGUAACGAAUCUUCCGCAAUGCACGAAAGUGUGACGGAGCGACGCCGCGUGUGGGACGAAGGCCCUUCGGGGUGUAAACCACUGUCAGGGGAUAGAAAGUUCUGAUCAUCCCCAGAGGAAGGCACGGCUAACUCUGCGCCAGCAGCCGCGGUAA
This 478-nucleotide ribosomal RNA is filed under the name uncultured bacterium. RNAcentral describes it as "SSU rRNA". It matches the Rfam family "Bacterial small subunit ribosomal RNA", at positions 26 to 523 of the family's 1533-position model. The record is from RNAcentral.